UCUCCGUUGGUGAACCAGCGGAGGGAUCAUUACCGAGUUUACAACUCCCAAACCCAAUGUGAACCAUACCAAACUGUUGCCUCGGCGGGGUCACGCCCCGGGUGCGUCGCAGCCCCGGAACCAGGCGCCCGCCGGAGGGACCAACCAAACUCUUUCUGUAGUCCCCUCGCGGACGUUAUUUUUACAGCUCUGAGCAAAAAUUCAAAAUGAAUCAAAACUUUCAACAACAGAUCUCUUGGUUCUG
RNAcentral lists this unclassified non-coding RNA (244 nucleotides) under plant metagenome. RNAcentral describes it as "partial contains small subunit ribosomal RNA, internal transcribed spacer 1, and 5.8S ribosomal RNA". The record is from RNAcentral.